RNAcentral lists this ribosomal RNA (450 nucleotides) under uncultured Glomeromycotina. RNAcentral describes it as "SSU rRNA". It matches the Rfam family "Eukaryotic small subunit ribosomal RNA", at positions 569 to 1023 of the family's 1831-position model. Lineage: Eukaryota; Fungi; Glomeromycota. The record is from RNAcentral.
CGCAGCCGCGGUAAUUCCAGCUCCAAUAGCGUAUAUUAAAGUUGUUGCAGUUAAAAAGCUCGUAGUUGAAUUUCGGGGUCAGUAGAUUGGUCGUGCCACUGGUAUGUACUGGUCUUACUGGCUCCUCCUUCCUGAUGAACCGUAAUGCCAUUAAUUUGGUGUUGCGGGGAAACUGGACUGUUACUUUGAAAAAAUUAGAGUGUUUAAAGCAGGCUAACGCUUGAAUACAUUAGCAUGGAAUAAUGAAAUAGGACGUUCGAUCUUAUUUUGUUGGUUUCUAGGAUUGACGUAAUGAUUAAUAGGGAUAGUUGGGGGCAUUAGUAUUCAAUUGUCAGAGGUGAAAUUCUUGGAUUUAUUGAAGACUAACUACUGCGAAAGCAUUUGCCAAGGAUGUUUUCAUUAAUCAAGAACGAAAGUUAGGGGAUCGAAGACGAUCAGAUACCGUCGUAG